Molecule: ribosomal RNA, 254 nt
Filed under: uncultured bacterium
Lineage: Bacteria
Description: partial 16S ribosomal RNA
Rfam family: Bacterial small subunit ribosomal RNA
Source: RNAcentral
AACGUAGGAGACAAACGUUAUCCGGAGUUACUGGGCGUAAAGGGCGCGUAGGCGGUUCCGUAAGUCAGGCGUGAAAGCUCACGGCUCAACUGUGGACGUGCGUCUGAUACUGCGGUGACUUGAGGUCGGUAGAGGUAAGUGGAACUAGCGGUGUAGCGGUGAAAUGCGCAGAUAUCGCUAGGAACGCCGGUGGCGAAGGCGACUUGCUGGGCCGUACCUGACGCUGAUGCGCGAAAGCUAGGGGAGCGAACCGG